GAAUAGAAUAGCAUAGAGGCAAGGGUCAGACAAUAGUUUACAUUUUUUGUCCUACAUAGAGGAUAGCUAGAAAAUUCUGUAUGGAGAAUUUUGUGUUUAAGGUUCUGUCUGCCGAAUAUUACUGGGCUUAAUUAUUGCCUGCAUGAUGAUGAUUAGGUAUUUUUUCCUAAGGGUUUUGGAAUACACAGGCUUCUAUAAGGUUCAGAGCUCAAUAGGCGAUUAGUAGGUUUUAUAUAGCUAUGUUUGAAUGACGUGCAGAGGAAUGGUUGGCCAGAGUCUUGCAGGGUAUAAAAUGAGAAAUCACCAUUCAUCCACGUCGCUCUAUUGAUUUCAAAGCAGUUGGGCCAAUUUGCACAGGCUGAGAAUAAGGACUGGAUAAUAGGAAGACUAACACUGUAAACUCUAACCUUGUGGUAUUAGAUUUCAGUUUGUCCAAAUGGCACAGGCUGUUCCACUUGCAUUUCUAGCAGCACACUUUUACCUGACCCAGCCUAUGAAAACAGUACAGCCAAGUAGCUCUAGUGCUCGGCUGCCUUUAUGUACUAGCAAAAGUAAUGACGCCUAGUAUGUAGUAUUAUUAUUUUAUGACAUCAGCAUAGUAUGACAUUUUCUCAAGGGCAGCCCAUAUCCCUUGCCCUCCUCCAUAUUGGCAGCCUUCACUAAUUGACUGUGAAAGUGGAGAAUUCAAUGGUUUAAGGUGAUCUCUUCUCUGAACUCCAAAACAGUUUGUGGAUGGAAAUCAGCUGAAGCAAAACAUUGGUUCAAUUACACUGUCAAGGGAUAUAGCUCCUGUACAACAAAGAGUGACCUUUCAGAGAAAAGAUGAAGCCAGCCUCAGGUUAACUCUGAAGGCCUCAGCUCAUCCAACUGAGAGCAGAUUAGCCCAGAUGGAGACAUUUUCAACACGGUUCUGUCUGACCAAUCAGCGACAGCUGGGAUUAGCCAAAUACCUUCUCUCAUCUGCUUGCUCACAGAAAGGGUUCUGUAAAAAGGCCUCAAUGUGAAAGCAUAUUGGGAUUUAAAUGAAUUAUCAUAGUGAGGACCUCAUUCUGAUGGCUACUGAUGUUUUGCUGUUGAUUUUUCAAGCAAAGUGACCCAACCUAGGAAGAAAAAGAAUACUUCCUAAAAGGGCAGAAAUGCUUUCCACUACUGAGGGAACUCAGUGUCCAAAUUAGAAGGAACGCAUCAGUAUUCUGCCUGAGGUUCUGGAUACCAAGCAGGAGCGGCUGCUUGAUAACCCAUGUUCAGGGUAUUAACAGAACAAAACCUAUUGAAAAGGGAUGAGAAGCUUGGAGAUGAGAAAAUGGGGAAAUGGAUCACUGUAAUACCAUUUCUGAACACAAGAUGAAUGAAAAUGUGAGUUAGCAUCCAAG
This 1373-nucleotide long non-coding RNA is filed under the name Anas platyrhynchos platyrhynchos (common mallard). Its description in RNAcentral is "lncRNA (ENSAPLG00000026200.1)". Lineage: Eukaryota; Metazoa; Chordata; Aves; Anseriformes; Anatidae. The record is from RNAcentral.